UCCGUCCGCAUCGGACACUCCUCGACCCUGCUCCUCCCGCUGCCGCUGACCCCGUUCGUCCCAUGCUGCCGCCGUCGCCGCCGCUGACCCCGCCCGUCCCCGGGCCGCCGCCGCCGCCGCCCACCCCGCACCGUAGGAGCUCCUCUGCUCCACGUAACUGGCAAUGUAUUGUAUAUGGAUCUGUGAUUUAGAUCUCUGUUGGACAGAUCUGUUGUUAAUCGAGAUUGAUGUUUGACAAUCUGUACGGUUGCCGCCACUCCCUCCCUGAUGGUUUGAUGAGGGCCACUGAUGUUAUGAAUGCCGGCAAGGUUGCGGUGGUCUGCGGUUAUGGUGAUGUUGGCAACAAGGGCUGUGCUGCUGCCCUCAAGCAGGCUGGUGCCCAUGUCAUUGCGACUGAGAUCGACCCCAUCUGUUGUGACGUUCAUGGCUUUUGGGGCUCAUAGUUCAACUGUUGCUUUUGGUUAUAGCUAUAGUACAAUAGUUCUUGCACCUGCACUUUUUUCUUAUUAGCUAGUACUCUAGGCAUCUAAAAUCAUUUUGUUGUAACGGCAUGCAGGCGACUGGAUCAUCUCGUGUUGUCUUGGAAUCAACAAGUGACAGCAUUGCAGUAGAUGGCCGCUGCAGCUAAGCUCUCGACACUGGACCAGCAAGGCAGCAAACCAUGCAUCUACGUGGAGGUGCCAUUUGCUUUGGGAAACAGAAUAGCAGUUGGUAAUUUCAUCUUUUGAAGUGUUUUGCCUUUGCAUACACUUAGUAGGUUGGUAGGAGAUACAUUUGGGAUGGCAUGUGACAGUAGUGUUGAUGCGAAACAUUUGGACAUAAUCUCUAUAUAUUUGUAUGAUAAGCUGCACAAUGUGUCGCAAAUAGACCAUUCUGUGCACGAUUCAGAUCA
This is a long non-coding RNA of Panicum hallii, 892 nucleotides long. RefSeq lists it as uncharacterized. Lineage: Eukaryota; Viridiplantae; Streptophyta; Magnoliopsida; Poales; Poaceae. The record is from RefSeq and is a predicted model, not a curated record. The transcript is spliced from 2 exons.